This 497-nucleotide ribosomal RNA is filed under the name uncultured bacterium. Its description in RNAcentral is "partial 16S ribosomal RNA". It matches the Rfam family "Bacterial small subunit ribosomal RNA", at positions 28 to 507 of the family's 1533-position model. The record is from RNAcentral.
GAUGAACGCUGGCGGCGUGCCUAAUACAUGCAAGUCGAGCGAACAGACGAGGAGCUUGCUCCUCUGACGUUAGCGGCGGACGGGUGAGUAACACGUGGAUAACCUACCUAUAAGACUGGGAUAACUUCGGGAAACCGGAGCUAAUACCGGAUAAUAUAUUGAACCGCAUGGUUCAAUAGUGAAAGACGGUUUUGCUGUCACUUAUAGAUGGAUCCGCGCCGCAUUAGCUAGUUGGUAAGGUAACGGCUUACCAGGGCGACGAUGCGUAGCCGACCUGAGAGGGUGAUCGGCCACACUGGAACUGAGACACGGUCCAGACUCCUACGGGAGGCAGCAGUAGGGAAUCUUCCGCAAUGGGCGGAAGCCUGACGGAGCAACGCCGCGUGAGUGAUGAAGGUCUUCGGAUCGUAAAACUCUGUUAUUAGGGAAGAACAAAUGUGUAAGUAACUAUGCACGUCUUGACGGUACCUAAUCAGAAAGCCACGGCUAACUACGUG